Long non-coding RNA from Ruditapes philippinarum (Manila clam), 3737 nucleotides. RefSeq lists it as uncharacterized. The record is from RefSeq and is a predicted model, not a curated record. The transcript has 2 exons. NCBI's taxonomy places the organism in Eukaryota, Metazoa, Mollusca, Bivalvia, Venerida, Veneridae.
AGUCUGACCAGGCUCUAUACUGUUGGAUGUUCAAGUUUUAAUACUGAAAUUCCUUACUGCAUAUACUGUUCAUCAGGACAGAUUCUUAACACAUAUUCAGCAGGUCUAGGGUUGAAGUUGUUAAAAAUACCCACUUUAGACAUAGAUAAUACAGAUUAGCCUUAUACACGAGACAUUGUAAAAUACUGCCUAAUUUAGACCUAGACUUAUAAAGCAGCCCGUCUUAUAUGCGAGAAAAUACUGUGGUUGUCAAAAUUUACCAAGUCCAAAUAUCCUCGAGCAACAUUUAUGAUAUUUAUACCUCAUAUUGAUAUAUUUAAAAAUAAAAAUUUACAGUAAAAUGUACACAGGCUAAAAUACAUGUAUAUAAUUAUAUAUUUAUAUUUGAUGUGUUAAUUUGUAAGGUCUCCCAAACUGUGGUAGAUGAAAAAAAAGUAAUUUCUCUGUAAAAAUAUAUUGUUUGUAUUACACUGCAUAUUUUUCUUGUUGAAUAUCUUCACCUAUAAGUGCAGUAACAGGUUAACUCCUAUUAAAGGUCAAUAGAAAUUGACCCAUUAUUGCACUAAGGUGAUGAUAAUAUUAAGUCAAUAGUUGAUCCUGAAAGUAGUUAUCCUAUACUUGGUGGAGAUAAGUUGUGAUUUUGUGAUAGAUCUUGUUGUUCUUAGUUUAUUCUUGUAACCCCUUGUUAUCAGAUAUUAUUAUAUUUUAUUCAUUUUGUUAGAACUACCUCAAGAAAAUGUCAACACAAAAAACUUGAACCAAAUUCGGAACUAUUAAUUUCAACAUGCCUUACGUUUUUAUUAAAAGCUUUGGUUGUAUAAAAAUCUAGUUAUUUGAUACAUGAAGUUUUAGAUUUUCUGUAUUUGUUUCUUUUCAAUGUUAGAAAUAAAAAAGUAAAAGCUACAAAUAUAAAAAAAAAAAUGAAAUAUUAAUUGUUAGAAAAAAGUUAUCAUAAAAAUGUAAGAGUUCAUGUAAUUACUGUUAGAGAAACAUUAUCAUGGGAAUGUUAAAGUUCAUGUAGUUAUUGUUUCACAGAUUUUAUCAUUGGGAUGUAAUAGUUCAUGUAGAUAUUGUUAGACAAAUGUUAUCAUUGGUAUGUAAGAGUUAUCAUUUGGAUGUAAGAGUUAUCAUUUGGGUGUAAGAUUUCAUGUACUGUUAGACAAAUGUUAUCAUGUAGGUUUAUUUUGUUAUUGUUAGACAAAUGUUAUCAUUGGGAUGUAAGAAUUAAUGUUAAUUUUAUAAGACAAAUGUUAUAAUUGGGAUGUAAGAGUUAUCAUUUGAAGGUAAGAGUUCAUGAAGUAACUGUUAGACAAAUGUCAUCAUUGGGAUAUAAUGGUUCAUGAAAUAACUGUUAGACAAAUGUCAUCAUUGGAAUGUAAUAGUUCAUGUAGUUGUUAGACAAAUGUUAUUAUUGGGAUGUAAGAGUUAUCAUUUGGAUGUAAGAGUUCAUGUUGAUUCCAUUAGACAAAUGUUAUCAUUGGGAUGUAAUAGUUCAUGGAGUAACUGUUAGACAAAUGCCAUCAUUGUGAUGUAAUAGUUCAUGAAGUUAGACAAGUGUUAAUAUUGGGAUGUAAUAGUUCAUUAAGUUAGACAAAUGUUAUUAUUGGGAUGUAAUAAGUCAUGAAGUAACUGUAAGAUAAAUGUUAUCAUUGGGAUGUAAUAGUUCAUGAAGUAAGACAAAUGUUAUUAUUGGGAUGUAAUAGUUCAUGUAGUAACUGUUUGAUAAAUGUUAUUAUUGAGAUGUUAUAGUUCAUGAAGUUAGAUAAAUGUUAUCAUUGGAAUGUAAUAGUUCAUGAAGUAACUGUUAGACAAAUGUUAUUAUUGAGAUGUAAUAGUUCAUGAAGUUAGACAAAUGUUAUCAUUGGGAUGCACUAGUUCAUGAGGUAACUGUUAGACAAAUGUUAUCAUUGUGGUGUAAUAGUUCAUGAAGUAACUGUUAGAUAAAUGUUAUUAUUAAGAUGUAAUAGUUCAUGAAGUUAGACAAAUGUUAUCAUUGGGAUGUAAGAGUUCAUGAAGUUCACUCAGCAGUUUUGAGAGAGUUUUCACUGGGAUGUAAAAGAUAUCAUAUGAUUACUAUUAGGUUUACAUUAUCAUUGAGAUGUAAAAGUAUUACUGUUAAGACCAACAUUUUCAUCAGGAUGUGAGACUUCAUAUAGUAUUUUGACAUCUUUUGUAUCAAAAGUAUUCUAUUUCCAUCUUUCUCUUAGUUAAAUAAGAACUUGGACAUUUGAUUAUAUCCUGGUUUACAUGCUGUAAAACAUGGAUCCUCUCAAAUAACAGUCUAGAGGUUUAAGCCAAUCUGCUACACAUUAAGAAAUUAUACAAUGAACUUUUUUUAAAAUGAACUUUCUUAUGUAUUUCAAGUUACUCAUUUUUGUUCAGAUGUACAUUUGUAUGUUCAUUUAACUAUCUGCUUGAAAUGAUUAACCUUAAUAUCAUCAUUGUAGAGUCAGGCCAGCCUGUACAUACUGUCUGACCAGGCUCUAUACUGAUGCUAGCUCAACUUUUGUUUUGUUUGGUUUUAUGGCACACCAACACAAAAUAGGUCAUAUGGCGCCAAAACAGGAAAGAUGAUUUUGGCUAACCUUAGGGUGUUACAAACUUAAAGCACUCACCUGCUGGAGCUAAGAGAUAAAGAUACUCCAGUAAUUCGAACAAAAUUCAGUCACCUCUUACGAUAACACAGGGAUAAACGAUGACUGCAAUUCUGAUGCCUCAACCCUUGAGGGCAAACCCUCAGCCACAAGGGGAUCAGUUUUUGUAUUUUGAUAUUAAAAUACCUUUAACUUUGAAUGAACUGUUCCAAAAUCCAAGCAGGGUCAAACCAUCACACAAAUUUCAGCAAGUUCAAAUAUUUAUUGAAAUUCUGUAACUAAAAUUUUGUAUCACUUUUACACAACAUUCAUAAGAAUUUUAACACUGGCACUAUAAUAUAAUCACCAGAUCAUUUUCUUACAUUUACAAUUUCAAAAUAUAAUGAUAUAUAUAAAUAUAUGUAUAUAUAUAUUGUAUCAGUGAAGAUGCUGAAAAUUUAAAUCAAAAUGUGUUUACAGAAACCAAUGUUAUGAUGAAAACUCGUUAUUUAUAUGCCCAAAAGAAUUUCGGGCAUAUCAUGUUAUACCCCCUGGCGUCCGUCCCCUGGAGCAUAACACAAGUUCCAUUUGGCUUACAGUGUUCAAACUUCAUACCAUGAUUGCCUUUAUCGAAUAAAAGAUCCAUAACUAUAUUUGGGUCACAAGGUCAAAGGUCAAUAUCAAAUGACCUUAAUAUUUACUUUUGGGCAUAUUAUGCUCCGCCUAGCGGUGCUCUUGUUCUAGAUAACGAUUGUUUCAUAUAUGCCAGGGAAAUUCAAUCUUAACCUGCUGGAAGGAAAAGUGAUUUGAGCCUUGGUCACCAGUAUAGAUCAAAGCCAGCCUUCAAAUCUGUGCAGUCUGACCAGGCCCUAUAUUGUAGACCAAGUUAACUUUAAAUGUAUUUUUCAUCCUUGAUAUCCCUAUAAAUUAUGAUAAUGGACUGUUCCAAAAAAUGGAAGCUGGAUUAGUCCAUUUGAGACAUUCAGCAGGUUAAGGGUAAAAUUAACAAAAUGUAUGGAAGGAAAAAAGAGUAAACAGGUAGUAUUAUAAAGGUUGUUUAAAUUCAUUAUAUUGUAUUUUAUUUCCAUUUUAAAACAGACAUGAUAUUUUAUUAUUUGUAUAUGAUCAAGUGAAUGUUUGUAGAAUAAAAUUUGUUAUGAAAAA